AACAAGAAUAAUGUGCCAGAGAUACUGUUUUUAUUCUGCUGCAUUUUAACUUUUAAUGGCAAAUUAAGAUGUUUGCUAAAUUAUUUAUUGCUGGAAUAAUUCAUUUAUGAGGCUAUUUAUUUCUGAGUCUAUCUUUGAUGAUAACAGGAUUGGUGCUCUGUACAAAAAUGCCCCAGGCAAUUUUUUAAUGGAAGCUGAUCUCUCUGAAGCUGUUUCCAUGUCUCCUUAUCGUCAUGUCAUUACAGUUUUUUUCUCAAGCAUAACGGACUCGGACAAGUUCACACACACUUCAGUCUAACUGCCUCCAUUUUGGUACCGGAGCUCUGUUAGACUCAGAGAGGCUUUCAGAGUCACUGCCUGAAGCUGCUGUCAAACACGAGAUUUUGCACAAAGAUGACACUAACAAACUCCAGUUCUGGUUCCACAGAAGAGUCGAUUGAACUGUGUAAAAGGUUUGAUGAUAACAAAGUGAGAGCAAAUCUGUCUUACAUUUACUACUUCAUGUUUGUCUUCAGUUUUAUCACCAACCUGCUGGUUCUGGUUAUCAUCCACCGGUUUGAGAAGCUGUACACUGUGAUCAACAUCUUGCUGCUGAACCUGGUGGCGUCCUCCCUGAUCUUAAUGAGCAGCCUUCCCUUCCAGGCCGUCUACAUGCAGAAAUCUAAAUGGAUUUUUGGCUCAGCUAUGUGCAAGAUCGUCUUCAGCAUCUACUACCUGGGUUUUUACAGUUCUGUUUUCUUUUUAACUCUGCUAACAUUUGACCGUUACCUUGUUUUUGUACAUUUUAUGCCUGUAGUACAUGUAAGGAGUCGACGCAAUGCUAUCAUAUCUUGUGCAGUGGUGUGGGUGAUCAGUGGUUUGGCUUGCAUUAGGCCCAUGAUCCUCCAUGGUGCCUAUGACCAUAAAAACACUACGCACUGUGAGGAGUUUGCUCAUAUUGAUGGUGUGAAUGUAGAGAAGCUAAAAAAAUAUGGAUUUUAUAUUCAGCUUUGUGUCUUCUUGAUCCUCCCUCUGGCUGUUAUCGUAUGUUGUUACAUUAGGAUUGUUGUCACCAUUAAAAAAUCCCAAUCGGCUUCUAAAUUCCAUGCAGUCAGGGUGAUAUUUAUGAUCGUAGGGUUGUUCUUCAUCUGCUGGAUCCCUUUUAACAUUGUAGAACUGCUGCAUUAUGAAUGUGAGUUCAAUUGGAGCUGUGCAGCUAAAAAGAAACUCGGUUACGUUCUUGAUGUCACCCGCAAAAUGGCCUGCAUUUACUUCUGCAUCAGUCCAAUGUUUUAUACAUUUGUAGGAAAAAAAUUUCAGAACCAUUUCAAACAGCUGCUGGUGAAAUGUUUCCCAAGAUUACAAGAUCAUAUUUCUUUCAAUGCAAACACCACAAUAAGAACUUAGUCUUAAGAAGUGAGUUUAUCUUUGUGGGUUUGUCAUCAUUCACCCUGAGUCAAACCAACUUCAGUACCUUGCAACCACAUUCAUGCUUUUUAAACUUCAGGCCAUCUUUUCAUGGUACAACAACAACCCUCACUUUGACCUCAUGUUUUGUCAUCAUGCUGAAAAAUUAUUUGAGGAUAUCAGUACUACUUAAGCUCAUGAGUGUGAGUGCUUAUAUCAUACAGUUAAAGCUACAGAUGGUGCCUUUUGAAUCAUUUCAUCCGGCUGUUUCAGUAGAUCUUGAGUUAGUAUUUCUAAUUUCUAAUUAUGCUGAAAGGACUCUGAGAAUUAAUCAGAUUAAGAACUAAUCAGAGCAGCAGGGAAAGACACCAAUGAUACCUCUGGAUGAGCUGCAGAAAUCCAUGAUUUAUUUACAUGACUUAGAACAAAGUGUGUAAAAUAGAUCAUAAUCUAUACAAUACACCGACAUUUGAAAUUUACAAAUACUCUCCUGCUAAUUUCCAGAGUAGAAUUGACACAAAAUGUAGACCCAAUGUAAAAAAGAGUCAAAAUGCUUCUCUGUAAAUAUGUUAGCCAAAUCUAUCACUAUAUUUUAUGCUGUUCUUUAAAAAUGCUUUGAAGUAGUACAAUCUAAUAACUCCAAAAAUAUAAACAAAAACCACCAAAGCAACCCUAAACAGUCUCUCACUAAAGAUGUGGUGGAGAGGACCCAACACACUAGCUAAGGGGUGCCCAAGUCCAGUUCUUGAGAUCCACCAUCCUACAACUCUCAGAUACAUCCCAUCUCCAACACAACUGAAUCAAAUCAGUGGCCCAUUACCAGGCCUCUAUAGAGCUGAAUGGCUGCUGAAGAGGGAGUUCAGCCAUUUGAUUCAAGUGUGUUGGACCAGGGAUGUAUUUCAAAGUUUGCUUGAUCUUGAACAUGGGGUUGGGGCCCUCUGCACUGGAAGAAAAGAAAAGCAAAAGCAAAGCUGAGUAAUUAUUGGGAUGAGUUUACAGGCAGAGGAAACAUGACUGAGCUGAAUGGGUGUUACUGAGAAUGUCUGAUUAAAUGCAGAAAAAUUUAAAAAGCAACAGUCAUGGGGCCCUCUGUUGUCACGUUCCCCAAGUUACACACAGGAACAUCUUUGGAUUUGUCUUUGGAUAGGAAGCUUACAGUCUGCUGUAACUCCAGUUCAAACCUGAUCAAGACACCAACUCCAGGCUAAUUUCCAAUAACCAAGUUAACAUGCUUACUUUGUAACCUUAACAGUACAGUAAUAACUUCAUUCAUUAAUAUAAUCUUAUGAAUCUAGGUGUUUUUCUUUUCAUGUGUGAUUUAGAGUGUUUUUUAAUGUAACGUCAUAAUAAUCACAAAGAAAUCUAUUAGAAAUCAGCAACAAAAAAUGCUUAAGGAACAACAAACUGGUAUAUUAUGGUACUUGUGCUCUGUAUAUGCGCACACUUUAUGUAAUAUCAGUGAUACAAAUGUCUGUCGCAUCUGUAUUAUAAUAAAAUUCACAGCAAAAUCCUUUAUAAGCAGACAACUAUAAUCUAUACCCUUGUAUUAUUUAACAGACUUGAAAUUAUUAGCAAAAAAUAGAUACCACUAGAAUACUUGUCCAAUGAUCAGGAUGAUUCUGUUUUUCUGUUUUUGUGUGUGCUGAACCAAUAAUAUCAUCCCGUUGUAUUGUGUAGUUUGUUUAUUUUUUUAUUUGGUAUGCAGUGUAUAGUAAGUGAAGAUGUAAUUAAAUCAGAAACUGGCCUCACAUUAUGCAAAGCCAUUAAUAUAUAAAGAUAUAAGUUAUGUUUGUUUAUUUUUUUUAUUCUGUACAUUAAAUGGAUGUCUUCAAAAC
Molecule: RNA transcript, 3221 nt
Organism: Xiphophorus hellerii (green swordtail)
Lineage: Eukaryota; Metazoa; Chordata; Actinopteri; Cyprinodontiformes; Poeciliidae
Gene name: C-C chemokine receptor type 3-like
Exons: 4
Source: RefSeq, a predicted model, not a curated record